RNAcentral lists this ribosomal RNA (253 nucleotides) under uncultured bacterium. Its description in RNAcentral is "partial 16S ribosomal RNA". It matches the Rfam family "Bacterial small subunit ribosomal RNA", at positions 524 to 776 of the family's 1533-position model. The record is from RNAcentral.
UACGAAGGGUGCAAGCGUUACUCGGAAUUACUGGGCGUAAAGCGUGCGUAGGUGGUUUGUUAAGUCUGAUGUGAAAGCCCUGGGCUCAACCUGGGAACGGCAUUGGAAACUGGCUUACUAGAGUGCGGUAGAGGGGUGUGGAAUUCCCGGUGUAGCAGUGAAAUGCGUAGAUAUCGGGAGGAACAUCUGUGGCGAAGGCGACACCCUGGACCAGCACUGACGCUGAGGCACGAAAGCGUGGGGAGCGAACAGG